Molecule: ribosomal RNA, 301 nt
Filed under: uncultured bacterium
Lineage: Bacteria
Description: partial 16S ribosomal RNA
Rfam family: Bacterial small subunit ribosomal RNA
Source: RNAcentral
CAGUAGCCGCGGUAAUACAGAGGGUGCGAGCGUUAAUCGGAUUUACUGGGCGUAAAGCGUGCGUAGGCGGCUUUUUAAGUCGGAUGUGAAAUCCCUGAGCUUAACUUAGGAAUUGCAUUCGAUACUGGGAAGCUAGAGUAUGGGAGAGGAUGGUAGAAUUCCAGGUGUAGCGGUGAAAUGCGUAGAGAUCUGGAGGAAUACCGAUGGCGAAGGCAGCCAUCUGGCCUAAUACUGGCGCUGAGGUACGAAAGCAUGGGGAGCAAACAGGAUUAGAUACCCCAGUAGUCCUGUCUCUUAUACA